RNAcentral lists this ribosomal RNA (510 nucleotides) under Salmonella enterica subsp. enterica serovar Amersfoort. RNAcentral's name for it is "partial 23S ribosomal RNA". It matches the Rfam family "Bacterial large subunit ribosomal RNA", at positions 711 to 1220 of the family's 2925-position model. Lineage: Bacteria; Pseudomonadati; Pseudomonadota; Gammaproteobacteria; Enterobacterales; Enterobacteriaceae. The record is from RNAcentral.
AGACCCGAAACCCGGUGAUCUAGCCAUGGGCAGGUUGAAGGUUGGGUAACACUAACUGGAGGACCGAACCGACUAAUGUUGAAAAAUUAGCGGAUGACCUGUGGCUGGGGGUGAAAGGCCAAUCAAACCGGGAGAUAGCUGGUUCUCCCCGAAAGCUAUUUAGGUAGCGCCUCGUGAAUUCAUCUCCGGGGGUAGAGCACUGUUUCGGCUAGGGGGCCAUCCCGGCUUACCAACCCGAUGCAAACUGCGAAUACCGGAGAAUGUUAUCACGGGAGACACACGGCGGGUGCUAACGUCCGUCGUGAAGAGGGAAACAACCCAGACCGCCAGCUAAGGUCCCAAAGUCAUGGUUAAGUGGGAAACGAUGUGGGAAGGCCCAGACAGCCAGGAUGUUGGCUUAGAAGCAGCCAUCAUUUAAAGAAAGCGUAAUAGCUCACUGGUCGAGUCGGCCUGCGCGGAAGAUGUAACGGGGCUAAACCAUGCACCGAAGCUGCGGCAGCGACACUGAUG